GACGAACGCUGGCGGCGUGCUUAACACAUGCAAGUCGAAUGGAAAGGCCCUGCUUUUGUGGGGUGCUCGAGUGGCGAACGGGUGAGUAACACGUGAGUAACCUGCCCUUGACUUUGGGAUAACUUCAGGAAACUGGGGCUAAUACCGGAUAGGAGCUCCUGCUGCAUGGUGGGGGUUGGAAAGUUUCGGCGGUUGGGGAUGGACUCGCGGCUUAUCAGCUUGUUGGUGGGGUAGUGGCUUACCAAGGCUUUGACGGGUAGCCGGCCUGGGAGGGUGACCGGCCACAUUGGGACUGAGAUACGGCCCAGACUCCUACGGGAGGCAGCAGUGGGGAAUAUUGCACAAUGGGCGGAAGCCUGAUGCAGCAACGCCGCGUGCGGGAUGACGGCCUUCGGGUUGUAAACCGCUUUCGCCUGUGACGAAGCGUGAGUGACGGUAAUGGGUAAAGAAGCACCGGCUAACUACGUG
RNAcentral lists this ribosomal RNA (468 nucleotides) under uncultured bacterium. RNAcentral describes it as "partial 16S ribosomal RNA". It matches the Rfam family "Bacterial small subunit ribosomal RNA", at positions 28 to 507 of the family's 1533-position model. The record is from RNAcentral.